GUGGGGAAUAUUGGACAAUGGGCGAAAGCCUGAUCCAGCCAUGCCGCGUGUGUGAAGAAGGUCUUCGGAUUGUAAAGCACUUUAAGUUGGGAGGAAGAGUAGUAACCUAAUACGUUGCUACUUUGACGUUACCGACAGAAUAAGCACCGGCUAACUUCGUGCCAGCAGCCGCGGUAAUACGAAGGGUGCAAGCGUUAAUCGGAAUUACUGGGCGUAAAGCGCGCGUAGGUGGUUCAGUAAGUUGGAAGUGAAAUCCCCGGGCUCAACCUGGGAACUGCUUUCAAAACUGCUGAGCUAGAGUACGGUAGAGGGUGGUGGAAUUUCCUGUGUAGCGGUGAAAUGCGUAGAUAUAGGAAGGAACACCAGUGGCGAAGGCGACUACCUGGACUGAUACUGACACUGAGGUGCGAAAGCGUGGGGAGCAAACAGGAUUAGAAACCCGGGUAGUCC
RNAcentral lists this ribosomal RNA (450 nucleotides) under uncultured bacterium. RNAcentral's name for it is "partial 16S ribosomal RNA". It matches the Rfam family "Bacterial small subunit ribosomal RNA", at positions 354 to 796 of the family's 1533-position model. The record is from RNAcentral.